Small nucleolar RNA from Hibiscus syriacus, 148 nucleotides. RefSeq annotates it as small nucleolar RNA snoR136. The transcript has a single exon. The record is from RefSeq and is a predicted model, not a curated record. NCBI's taxonomy places the organism in Eukaryota, Viridiplantae, Streptophyta, Magnoliopsida, Malvales, Malvaceae.
GUGGCUUCUAUUUAUUUUUAGAUCCAGAAAUUUGAACAAAAAUAGAAUGUGAGUUUCUGUGAUGGGAAGAAGCCUAAACAGAAAUGUUCCCCUCACUAUCCACUGCUUCAAUUCGAUGAUCCAUUUUGGACGUCGGGGAACUACAUCC